RNAcentral lists this ribosomal RNA (455 nucleotides) under uncultured bacterium. Its description in RNAcentral is "bacterial SSU rRNA". It matches the Rfam family "Bacterial small subunit ribosomal RNA", at positions 339 to 791 of the family's 1533-position model. The record is from RNAcentral.
UUACGGGAGGCAGCAGUAAGGAAUAUUGGUCAAUGGAGGCAACUCUGAACCAGCCAUGCCGCGUGCAGGAAGACGGCCCUCUGGGUUGUAAACUGCUUUUAUUCGGGAAUAAACCUAUCUACGUGUAGAUAGCUGAAUGUACCGAAGGAAUAAGGAUCGGCUAACUCCGUGCCAGCAGCCGCGGUAAUACGGAGGAUCCAAGCGUUAUCCGGAUUUAUUGGGUUUAAAGGGUGCGUAGGCGGCCUAUUAAGUCAGGGGUGAAAGACGGUAGCUCAACUAUCGCAGUGCCCUUGAUACUGAUGGGCUUGAAUGAACUAGAGGUAGGCGGAAUGUGACAAGUAGCGGUGAAAUGCAUAGAUAUGUCACAGAACACCGAUUGCGAAGGCAGCUUACUAUGGUUUUAUUGACGCUGAGGCACGAAAGCGUGGGGAUCAAACAGGAUUAGAUACCCUGGU